GCUUUUCACAGACAGAUAUUGUGACUCACAUAAACCGCCUGCCCCAGACUCCCCACCCCCUGAAGAGGGAGGGUGUGCUGGAAAGAAGCCAGAGUGGGCGGCUCAGAGCACAAAGUAACCCGAGUCCAGUGUUCUAGGAUAUACAGCAGCCAGGGUCAUGGCCAGGGUCAGGCCAUAUUCUCCAGGGAACAGAAACAACCAGAUCCACAGUAUCUGAACCAGGAGAGCCAAGGUGAAGGCGGGGAGAGCAAAGCCCCAUCUCCCACAGGGCACACAGGAGCAACAGCCAACCACGGAGCCAUCGCAUCAAAAGCCUCCGGCUGAGGAGGCCUGAGCCUCCAGGAGAGGGUGCAGCGGACAGCAGGCCUUGGAGAAGAAUGGUGCAGCCCCAGGGUAACCUCUGUGGCUCCGCUGCCUCUGUGCGGAGGCAGAGCACAAAGCAGGAAGAGCAGGCUCAGGACUCUCACAUCUCUGCCUCCCUAACACCGGCUUGCACAAAAUCAGCCUGGUUGCCGGCCCAAGACCUGCAUCAGAUCCAGAGCCAACGCCCAGCAAGGAGGGCAGAGGCCCAGGAGUCGCCCCCCGGCCCUGAGGAGCCAGCGACAGCGGACGGAUGGCUCCCGAGGGUGGGAGCCGGGCUUCUCUAUCGCUGUGGCUCCCCGUGGACCAUCUCCAGUAAAUGACCCCACACCCAGGAGCACACAGACAGCACAAACUGGACUCCAGGGGUUAUCAAAACAGCACAAUAUAGGACAUGAAGUUAGGGAGAGGGAGGUGGGGUGCGUCUUGGAGCAGUCAGGGAGAGGCGUGUAGAGUGGCUAAGAUCAGAAUACAUUUUAGGAAAUUUUAUUUUAAAAGGAAAAAAAAUUCAACUUCCAAUCUACUUGGCAAAAUGGUCAAAGACAUGGAUGGAGACUACACUUGACCCUCUGCGCUUGAAGGCUGGUUGAGUCUGCCUCUGUGGCCCCAGAGUGAGGACCAUGUCGCCACCUGCACAUCCGUCUUCUGAGUACUAGAGGCAGUGAAACAUCAACACACAGUCAGCGCAGUAGAACGGCCGCACCAGCACAGGGAGACAACACCCGAAAGACUCAGACGUACAGAAAGAAUGCCACGUCACACUGCCACCCUUGACUAAGUAUAAUGAAGUCACUGCCUCUCAAAAGCCAUGGAUGUGGAGGCUGGAGGGACGGCUCAGCAGUUAAGAGCACUAGUUGCCCCUUCCGAGGACCUGGGUUCAAUUCCCAGCACCCCGCGUGGCAGCUCACAACCAUCUACAACUCCAGUUCCACAGGAUCUGACACCCCCUUCUGGCCUGUGCAGAUACUGCACACACACGGUGCAUAUACAAACAUACAACUAAAACACUCAUAAAGUAAAAAUAAAUUGCUAUUUAAAAAAUAA
This is a long non-coding RNA of Meriones unguiculatus (Mongolian gerbil), 1404 nucleotides long. RefSeq lists it as uncharacterized. The transcript is spliced from 3 exons. NCBI's taxonomy places the organism in Eukaryota, Metazoa, Chordata, Mammalia, Rodentia, Muridae. The record is from RefSeq and is a predicted model, not a curated record.